Long non-coding RNA from Stylophora pistillata, 857 nucleotides. The record is from RefSeq and is a predicted model, not a curated record. NCBI's taxonomy places the organism in Eukaryota, Metazoa, Cnidaria, Anthozoa, Scleractinia, Pocilloporidae.
UGCAGCGAAGGACGAGGCACACAAGAAGUGGCGGGACGAUUGGUUGAGUGAAAUCACAAAGACGCGUGAGAUCGACCAUGAAUUUCGAAAAAGGAUCGAAAACGACAAGGUGUUUACCUGUGAAAAACACUUCGACGUAGAAGAUUUCGAAAUAUUUCAAACGGCGAAAAUGACGAAGAAGAAACAGAUUUUCUAACAGGAUGUAGGCAAUGGCUUGAAGCUGUUGCCUAGGCUGUCAUACGAGCAUGUAAACCUGACCCCGUAUUCUGUCAUGCGGGUGAAUCUUGCUGCACAAGUCCUGACUGCAUCAGUCGCUGCAGUUCUGAAGACGUUUGGACCUCCAGGCACAGCAGCAACUGCAAAACUCUGCGAAGUGAUCGAUGGCUUCUUUGAUUGUCUCAAUGUGAGAAGCAUGACAGAGCAUCAGAGAAAGCGCAAACCAUUCUUGGCUCCUUAUACUUCUGUUAAUGACGAAAGAUUUGCAUGGUUGACGGAGUUCCUAGACUAUCUGAGGACUUGGAAAGAGAAUGUUGACAACAGACCGGGUAACUUCACCCAGAAUGCCAGAAACCAAAUGUUCUCUCAUGGCAUACAUAUGAGGGCUUCUGCAUAUCUGUAUGUUCUGCUGUCGAGGUGACAAAAUUUUUGCCCAAGGAAGGGUUUGAAUUUGUCCUCACAGAAUGGUUCUGCCAGGAUCAAGUAGAGGAGUACUUCGGGGGCCAGCAGAAACUGGGUAGACGCAGUGACAACCCUGAUAUAAAAACAUUUGGGUAUAACAGUAACACACUAAGAAUGCAGAGAACAGUGUCCUGUCAGAGUGGCAACACAAGGGGCCGAAAGGACAAGACACGAGCCUG